Molecule: RNA transcript, 8240 nt
Organism: Anolis carolinensis (green anole)
Lineage: Eukaryota; Metazoa; Chordata; Lepidosauria; Squamata; Anolidae
Gene: brip1
Gene name: BRCA1 interacting helicase 1
Exons: 24
Source: RefSeq, a predicted model, not a curated record
AUAUAAUGUUUUGGACUGCAACUCCCACCAUUCCUAGCAUCCUAAUCUCAAAGCAGGCCUCGGAAAUGGCCUCAAUCGAGCUAGGCCGCACUGAAUUCUCCGGUUGCCACGGCAACGAGAGGGAACCCGGAAACAACGUUAAGCAACUGAUUGGAGAAAGCUUAGGCGGGGCUAUGAUUUUUCUUUCCUUUUCUGGCGGCGGAUUGGCCAUCGGAGGGGGCCAUUUUGUUUCGUGAUUGGGCUACUUGAGGCAUAAGGCGGGGCUAGGACGCCUUGGCGGUGGCUUUCGUUCCUGAUUGGCUGCCGAGGCCGUCAGGUGACUGGGGGAAAAACAAGCGGGAAGAAUGGCCGGCACCUGAGAGCAAACGGAACGCUGAGGUGAAAGCAGUGGAUUCUGAGAAGUCGAUGUGACGAUGGCGUCGUCAGCCUCAGAAUACACUAUUGGCGGCGUGAAGAUUCUCUUUCCUUGCAAGGCGUAUCCUUCCCAGCUGGCCAUGAUGAACGCGAUUGUAAAAGGGCUAAACUCCAAGCAACAUUGCCUCUUGGAGAGUCCGACGGGAAGCGGGAAAAGCUUGGCCUUGCUCUGCUCAGCUUUGUCAUGGCAACAAGCACAAUACGACAAGCCCCUGGACAACAUGUCAGGUUCAAAGGAAUCCAAGAAGCCAGAGCCCUUGAUGCCAUGCCGUUGUGGUUGCCACACUAGCCGCACAACUCAGAGCCCGGAUGGGGCGAAGCAGGACCAAGCGGCCUCUGAUGCCUUCACCAACGGUGCCCCCGCCAUGCCCACCAGCAGUGGAAAUACGUCCAGAAACGAAGACUCUGUUUUGUUCCCUUUUGAUGGAAAGCACACAGCGAAAACCACACUUGCUUCCAAGCUAUUUGCAAAGAAACAGGCUUCUUUGCAGGAAGGGGAAGAUGAUGAUUUUAAAGUUGAUAGGAAGCGGAUUCGUUCACUAGAAACUGAAGAGCAGGCUAGAAAACGACACCGACUGGCUAAAGGGGUCCAGUUUGUCGAUGCCUUGGAAAUUUAUCAGCAGCAUAAAAAUGGGGAAUUGAUUGUGUCUUCUGGGAAAACUACGCCUUCCUCUCUCAAAACACUUCCUGGCCCUUGCCACCAGUGUUCCUGUUCUUCCGCGGAGGAAAAAGGCAGAGACACAGCCGAUGCGAAGAAGAAAGACAACGGAGAGCGGCCGGCUAUUCCCAAAAUAUAUUUUGGAACCCGGACCCACAAACAGAUUGCUCAGAUCACGCGAGAGCUGCGGAGGACGGCAUAUGCCGGUGUCCAGAUGACCAUCCUUUCUAGCCGGGACCACAGCUGCGUCCACCCAACCGUCUCGACUUGCGGAAACAAGAACGAAAAAUGCGCAGAGUUGUUGGAAGCCAAACACGGUACAUCUUGUUCUUUUUUCCAUGGAGUCCAUAAGCUGCGCGAUCACCACGUCUUUCAGUUUGCCCAAAGGAAAUAUCAAGCCUGGGACAUAGAAGAUCUAGUGCGGCUGGGAAAGAAGCUCCGGGCUUGUGCUUUUUUUGCUGCUCGGGAACUUAUGGCGACAGCAGACAUUGUCUUUUGUCCUUACAACUACCUUUUAGACCCACAAAUAAGAGAGAGUAUGGAAAUUAAUUUGAAGGACCAGGUGGUCAUUUUGGAUGAAGCUCACAACAUUGAGGAGAGUGCCCGCGAGUCCGCCAGCUACAGCGUGACCGAAGCUCAGCUCCAAAUGGCCAGAGAAGAGCUGGACGCCAUGGUCAACAACAACAUCCGGAAACAGGACCACGAGCCUUUGCGGGCGGUGUGCUACAGCCUCACAAACUGGUUAAGGAAAGCAUGUGCUGAGCUGGUAGAGCGAGAUUAUGAGACAUCCAGUAAAGUCUGGAGUGGGCGUCAAAUGGUGACAUUCUUCCACACAAUGGGAAUAACAAAUGCUUCCCUUCCCUUCUUGCAGCGACAUUUAGCUGCUGUUCUUGAAAAAGAAGAAAAAGUCCCUCUUUUCCACGGCGGAGAAGAAGUCGUUUCUGUUCCGGUGAUCAGCCCUCCGACUCAGAUUGUGCUCAAAGGCCUCUUCAUGGUGUUGCAGUUUCUUUUCCGAGAGAACCACCGGUUUGCCGAUGACUACAGAGUUGCUUUGCAGCAAACCUACGCCUGGACAAACGAGACUCCGGCGGACGCUCCGGAUGCGAAAGGGUUUUUUGCACGACCGAAAAGGAGGUCGCGGCACAAAGUGGCCGUGCAUAAUCUCAAUUUCUGGUGCUUGAAUCCAGCUGUGGCCUUCUCUGACUUGAGCGGAAAUGUGAGAUCCAUUGUGUUAACCUCCGGGACGCUUUCUCCAAUGGAUUCCUUCUCUUCUGAGCUUGGUGUGAAGUUUUCCAUUCAGCUUGAAGCAAACCAUGUCAUUCACAACUCACAGGUAUGGGUCGGUACCAUCGGAGCCGGUCCCAAAGGCAGGACUUUACGUGCCACUUUCCAGCACACAGAAACCUUUGAAUUCCAGGACGAAGUGGGAGAGCUCCUGCUUUCGGUCUGCCAGACCAUCAGCCGCGGGGUUUUAUGCUUCUUGUCAUCAUAUAAGAUGUUGGAUAAGCUGAAAGAUCGCUGGCUGCACACGGCCUUAUGGGAGAAGCUUGAGCUGAUCAAGACCGUGAUUGUGGAGCCCAAAGGAGGAGACAAGGCCAACUUCGAUGAGCUGCUCCAAGUCUACUACGAUGCCAUCAAGUGUCAAGAAGGGAAGGAUGGUGCCCUUCUUAUCGCUGUCUGUCGAGGCAAAGUCAGCGAAGGCCUGGAUUUCUCCGAUGACAACGCCCGAGCAGUUAUAACGAUAGGAAUUCCCUUCCCAAAUGUGAAGGACCUUCAGGUUGAGCUGAAGAGGAAAUACAAUGACCAGCAUUCGAAGGCAAGAGGACUUCUGUCUGGGAGCCAGUGGUAUGAAAUCCAGGCCUAUCGGGCUCUUAACCAAGCCCUUGGCAGGUGUAUUCGCCAUAGGAGUGACUGGGGAGCCCUCAUUUUAGUCGAUGACCGCUUCGGAAGGCACCCAAGUAAAUAUAUAGCUGGAUUAUCAAAAUGGAUUCGCCAGCAAAUCCAGCACCAUGAGAACUUUGAUCACGCUCUUGGCUCCUUGGAGACAUUUGCGAAAUCGAACCAGAAGCGAACCGGCCCUUCUCUCGAGGCCAACGGGAAUUACUCACUCGUGCCUUCUGCUCUAAAAGAUCUGUCACGCAGCUCAGGACCGGAUCCGGAAACACUUUUUGCAGCCGAUAUUAAUCCAACAACAUACAACAUACCUCCCGAGGAAAAACAUCCUCACCCAUCUCACCAGAUGAGAGACCCCACACCCAGAAAUCCCACCAGAGAAAACAAGAGGGAAAAAUCAAAUCGUCAGCUCACCUCCGGAAGUAUAAAACAGUAUUUCGGUGCAACGUCAACAUCCACGCCUCCGCCUGCAACGAAUGUGGAGCGUAUGCCCAAAACCAAAUUGCUGAUGGACGAGAUGAACCAACUUGUUUCAAUUGUUUCCCAGCAAGAUGUAGUCUUGGUUGAGGUCGAUGAGCCAAUUGGAUUGGAGACAGAAACGGUUAACUGUUCUUCUGGAAAAGCGAUUCAAGAAUAUCCCAUACCAUGGCAAUCCUGCGACCACGAAAACAGCGAGAAUGCGGACGUUUCUGUAACAAGAGGAAACGUGGAACCUUCGACAUCGGCUGCAGAAACAGGUGUCGGUGACGACAGUGUCUACUUCACACCCGAACUUUACGAGUCCGCGGAAGAAGAACAGGAAUGGCUUGCUACCCCAUGUGGCGACGCCGGGAUAGCAAACACUUUUUUGACCGAAUUUCUGAACCCGGUAGAGGAAGAAGCUGGCGUUAAAACGGGCACAGGGUGGGAAGGUGAGAGUAACGAAGAUACAAUCCGAGUAGCCGGAGAGAGUCCUAGGACAGGAGACAUUGCGCAGGAAGGAAAGACGAGGAAAAGCAGACUUUCUCGAACACAGAAGAAAGGGUUGAAAGUGCAAAGAACCUAUAAACGAAGAAUCAGGAAGAACAUCUAGGAAGUGAACACAACAGAAAAAAGGUUUGGCUCCCCGGUCGUCUUUUUGUUUCUGUACGUCCAUCAAAUGCUGAAUUUUAGCUGCAAUUCCGUGAAUUCAAAAGAAUUUCGUCAUUCCCGGCGUCCGGACAAAAUCCGAUGUCUUGCUUUGCUCCUUUCCUGGAAGUCCAGACAAUUGGAUACACUUCUGCCAACAAUGAACAAGUUUUCUGCAGCCAUGACGGAAGAAGUCGACACUCGGUUUCCGCAACCGGCGUCUCUCAACAUCUUCAUCCGAAGCAUAAUGAUGUCCCCGCAGAUCUGAUGGAUCUCCUUUGGGGUGACACCUUCGCCCUUUAACAACACAACCGUUCAAUGCUAAGGCUUCCCGCCAAACGGAACUGUAGAGGAGAGUCUACUGAACAAGACCGGACUGUUGAGAAAUUACGAAGGUGGAGGCAUUACUUUUCAUUCAACCCUCGUCACUGGUUCAAAAGGAAGAGAAGGAGGAAGAAAAUCUGUGGCCAAAGAGGAGCGAUGGGCCCGCAAUCCGACCCGGAGCGAUGGGAGGGAAGAUGGGGCACAGAAGCCCAUUCUUCUCCCCACGGACCAGACUUUUACGGGUCAGAUCGGUGCUUUAAAGGCCCUUUUCAUCCCGGCGCAGAUCACUCUACCCACAGUAGCCAGCUGCAUCAUAUACCAUUUAAAUGUAGUUUUUAUGGAUGACAUUUUCCAGAGACAUUUUCUCCACCUCCCUCCCAAAGGAAACCGUGGCAUUUAUUUUAUCAGGGGUUCGGGUUUAACUCUUUGGGCGCUGCCUGGCUAACCGUGGAGUAGUAAGCACAGAAGCAAACACAGGGUACAAGUAGUAAUGUAUUUGAAAACACAACGUUUUUUAAAACAACCACAAAAACUUGGCCUGAUACGAAAUGUCCCUUGGCCAGAAUCUGACCACUUGGAGUGUUACUGUUAGAAGGUCCUCUAUUGUGCAUGUGUCUUGUAAUCAAUGGUCUGUGGUUUGCUCUCACCCACACUCGCAUGUUGCCGACUCCACUUUGUGGCCCCAUUUCUUAAAGUUGCAAUGCAUCUCGUGGUGCCACAGCGCAGUCUGUUCAGCGCCUUCCACGUCGCCCCGUCUUCUGUCUGCCCAGGAGGGAAUCUCUCAUUCGGUUUUAGCCUGCCACUUUUGGACUCUGGCUUGCUGAGGAGUUCCUGCGAGUAUCUCUGUAGAUCAGGGGGCCCCAAACUAAGGCCCAUGGGCCAGAUGAAACCCUUUGCAGUCUCUAGACCAGGGGCCCUCAAAACUUUUUAAGUGGGGGGCCGAUUCACAGUCCCGAAGACUGUUACGGGUCCGGACUAUAAUGAAAUAGUCCAAAAUUCAGAUUGUUGUAGUUGUGGCCUUCAAGUUAUUUCAGACUUAGGUCAACCGUAAGUCUAAAGUUUAGGACAGAGGCCAAGUCAAUGACCUUGGAGGGCCAUAUCCGGACCAUGGUCCUUAGUUUGGGGACCCCUGAUCUAGAUGAUCUCAAGACCAUAGGUAAGCAAAGAGACCUCCAAAGACCAUCUAGAUGAUCUCAUAAGGCCAUAAGCAAGCAAAGAGAUCUCCAAAGACCACCUAGAUGGUUUCAUAGGACCAUAGGUAAGGAAAGUGACCUCCAAAAGCCAUCUAGAUGGUCUCAUAAGGCCGUAGCUAAGCAAAGAGACCUUCAAAGACCAUCUAGAUGAUCUCAUGUCCAUAGGUAAGCAAAGAGACCUCCAAAGACCACCUAAUAGUUUCAUAGGACCAUAGGUAAGGAAAGUGACCUCCAAAAGCCAUCUAGAUGGUCUCAUAAGGCCGUAGCUAAGCAAAGAGACCUUCAAAGACCAUCUAGAUGAUCUCAUGUCCAUAGGUAAGCAAAGAGACCUCCAAAGACCACCUAAUAGUUUCAUAGGACCAUAGGUAAGGAAAGUGACCUCCAAAAGCCAUCUAGAUGGUCUCAUAAGGCCGUAGCUAAGCAAAGAGACCUUCAAAGACCAUCUAGAUGAUCUCAUGUCCAUAGGUAAGCAAAGAGACCUCCAAAGACCACCUAAUAGUUUCAUAGGACCAUAGGUAAGGAAAGUGACCUCCAAAAGCCAUCUAGAUGGUCUCAUAAGGCCGUAGCUAAGCAAAGAGACCUUCAAAGACCAUCUAGAUGAUCUCAUGUCCAUAGGUAAGCAAAGAGACCUCCAAAGACCACCUAAUGGUCUCAUAGGACCAUAGGUAAGGAAAGUGACCUCCAAAAGCCAUCUAGAUGGUCUCAUAAGGCCGUAGCUAAGCAAAGAGACCUUCAAAGACCAUCUAGAUGAUCUCAUGUCCAUAGGUAAGCAAAGAGACCUCCAAAGACCACCUAAUAGUUUCAUAGGACCAUAGGUAAGGAAAGUGACCUCCAAAAGCCAUCUAGAUGGUCUCAUAAGGCCGUAGCUAAGCAGAGAGACCUUCAAAGACCAUCUAGAUGAUCUCAUGUCCAUAGGUAAGCAAAGAGACCUCCAAAGACCACCUAAUAGUUUCAUAGGACCAUAGGUAAGGAAAGUGACCUCCAAAAGCCAUCUAGAUGGUCUCAUAAGGCCGUAGCUAAGCAAAGAGACCUUCAAAGACCAUCUAGAUGAUCUCAUGUCCAUAGGUAAGCAAAGAGACCUCCAAAGACCACCUAAUAGUUUCAUAGGACCAUAGGUAAGGAAAGUGACCUCCAAAAGCCAUCUAGAUGGUCUCAUAAGGCCGUAGCUAAGCAAAGAGACCUUCAAAGACCAUCUAGAUGAUCUCAUGUCCAUAGGUAAGCAAAGAGACCUCCAAAGACCACCUAAUGGUCUCAUAGGACCAUAGGUAAGGAAAGUGACCUCCAAAAGCCAUCUAGAUGGUCUCAUAAGGCCGUAGCUAAGCAAAGAGACCUUCAAAGACCAUCUAGAUGAUCUCAUGUCCAUAGGUAAGCAAAGAGACCUCCAAAGACCACCUAAUGGUUUCAUAGGACCAUAGGUAAGGAAAGUGACCUCCAAAAGCCAUCUAGAUGGUCUCAUAAGGCCGUAGCUAAGCAAAGAGACCUUCAAAGACCAUCUAGAUGAUCUCAUGUCCAUAGGUAAGAUAAGUGACCUCCAAAAGCCAUCUAGAUGGUCUCAUAAGGCCGUAGCUAAGCAAAGAGACCUUCAAAGACCAUCUAGAUGAUCUCAUAAGGCCGUAGGUAAGCAAAGAGACCUCCAAAGACCACCUAAUGGUCUCAUAGGACAUAGGUAAGGAAAGUGACCUCCAAAAGCCAUCUAGAUGGUCUCAUAAGGCUGUAGCUAAGCAGCGAGACCUUCAAAGACCAUCUAGAUGAUCUCAUGUCCAUAGGUAAGCAAAGAGACCUCCAAAGACCACCUAAUGGUCUCAUAGGACAUAGGUAAGAUAAGUGACCUCCAAAAGCCAUCUAGAUGGUCUCAUAAGGCCGUAGUUAAGCAAAGAGACCUUUAAAGGUCAUCUAGAUGAUCUCAUGUCCAUAGGUAAGCAAUGAGACCUCCAAAGACCACCUAAUGGUCUCAUAGGACCAUAGGUAAGGAAAGUGGCCUCCAAAAGCCAUCUAGAUGGUCUCAUAAGGCCGUAGCUAAGCAAAGAGACCUUCAAAGACCAUCUAGAUGAUCUCAUGUCCAUAGGUAAGCAAAGAGACCUCCAAAGACCACCUAGAUGGUUUCAUAGGACCAUAGGUAAGGAAAGUGACCUCCAAAAGCCAUCUAGAUGGUCUCAUAAGGCCGUAGCUAAGCAAAGAGACCUUCAAAGGUCAUCUAGAUGAUCUCAUGUCCAUAGGUAAGCAAUGAGACCUCCAAAGACCACCUAAUGGUCUCAUAGGACCAUAGGUAAGGAAAGUGGCCUCCAAAAGCCAUCUAGAUGUUCUCAUAAGGCCGUAGCUAAGCAAGGAGACCUUCAAAGACCAUCUAGAUGAUCUCAUAAGGCCAUAAGCAAGCAAAGAGACCUCCAAAGACCACCUAGAUGGUUUCAUAGGACCAUAGGUAAGGAAAGUGACCUCCAAAAGCCAUCUAGAUGGUCUCUUUAUUUCCAACAUUUAUAUCCCGCCCUUCUCACCCGAAGGGACUCAGGGCGGCAUACACAAUUGGCAACAAUUCGAUGCCUACACAUAAUGAAAACAUAGCAAUGAAAAUACAAUUAAAACAAUAUAAAAACAUAAAUAUAAGUUAUAAUAUAUUUUAUAUCAGUUUUAAUAAUAUAAUAUAGUGUAUAUGC